AUCCCUACAACGUGUCCAUUUACAUGCAGGAUGGGGUACAGGUGGGCAGAGCAGCCACUCACACAGCACAGCUGAGCCCAUCCAGCUCCCCUAUAUAGGGUUGGGCUCAGGAAGGCUUCUCCUUUUUGUUUGGGGUUUGGGCAGAGGGGGAAGGGAAGAGCAGUAGUAUUCACCAGGCUGCUGGUAUGCAGCUGGCAGUACCUGUAAAGCGAGGGAAGAUCAUACGGAAGCGUUACAGAGUUGGUAGCAGCAGCUCAGGGUCAGCAAUGCCUUCUACCUGGGGCCAUGUGAACUAAGAACAUUAAUUGAGCCUCCUGGGUUUCUGCAUGGUGAUGCCCGAGAGGAGCCCUCAGCAUCACUGCGGGGAGCUGGGGAUGCUGCAUUGGGGAGCGGGGUCACACUGCCCUCAAUGCUCUGCCCUGGGCCAGGGGGCACCGGGAAGAGGGGGUGCCAGGCGUGCAGGAGUGGUGGUCCCAGUGCUCUCCGUGCUUCUCCCAAGGAUGCUCCUGGCCUCUGGGCAGCUCUGAAACCUCCCUUUUGGCUUAGAAAAUCAAACAAAAAACCCACAGGUGCUCUAACAGCUGUUCAUCUGCACACCAGGGGUGAGCUGGGGUGGGGAAAAGCAGGCUGCAACCCCAAAAGUUUGGUGCUCCCUGAGGUGAUGCAGCUCCUGGGGAUGGAAGAAUCACUCUGACCCCCGUUGCCUUACUGGGAACUGCACAUUUUCCCAACCCACACCUUACUGGGGUCCCCAUCGCAGCGCUGG
Molecule: long non-coding RNA, 766 nt
Filed under: Anas zonorhyncha (Eastern spot-billed duck)
Lineage: Eukaryota; Metazoa; Chordata; Aves; Anseriformes; Anatidae
Description: lncRNA (ENSAZOG00000003095.1)
Source: RNAcentral